Delphinapterus leucas (beluga whale) is the source of this 476-nucleotide non-coding RNA. The record is from RefSeq and is a predicted model, not a curated record. Lineage: Eukaryota; Metazoa; Chordata; Mammalia; Artiodactyla; Monodontidae.
CCCUUCACUCCUGUUUCAAUAAGACUAGAAAAAAAAGGAAUCAUGUAAAAUGGUUUCUGUGUUGGAAAUUCUCCUGAAAAGGAACUUUUUCAUACAUAUAAAACUAAUAGAUUGUGUUGUCUUUGCAGAAGCUGGAAAGGAUUGUCCUCCGAUGCUGCUCCCAACUAAUGCUUUGUGUGGAGAGAUGAAAACACAUUUGACGAGGAGACCAAGACCAGAGUUGGGCAGUUACCUGAUGGCUUUUCUAAGGCUCAGGAAAGAACAGCUCUCCCUCUGCCUCUUUGAUGGCUGCUCAAAAUGCCAGCGCCCAUGCUGUGCAGUGUAGCUUUUCACCUGAGUCCGCAAAAGGCAGGAGGAGCUGGAUAUGCAGGAGGUUGGUCCGGCUGCAUGCUCGGUGGUCAAGGAGAUGCCCUGCGCUGAUCUGCCCUGGACCGUGGACCCGGGAAGCCAGUUGCGGAACACAGGCUCCGGAAGCA